AAUUCUCAACUGCUUUAGCUUUUGUGGUUGAAGUAAAGUUGGAUUUGGAGGAAUAAUUGCUGGCGUAACCUUUUAAGGUUGCUUGUUAGCUCCUCUUAAAUGGAUGAACUUUCCAGUAGUGUAAAAGUAACACCAAUGUGAUAAUUAUCUACGUUGGAUGAACUUGUACAAGGAAAGAUGAAUCUGUCUUGGACCCCCUUGACGAAACAAAUGACAA
This 217-nucleotide unclassified non-coding RNA is filed under the name uncultured Thelephoraceae. Its description in RNAcentral is "sequence contains ITS2". Lineage: Eukaryota; Fungi; Basidiomycota; Agaricomycetes; Thelephorales; Thelephoraceae. RNAcentral also lists the same sequence under 1 other name. The record is from RNAcentral.